Long non-coding RNA from Vigna unguiculata (cowpea), 926 nucleotides. The record is from RefSeq and is a predicted model, not a curated record. Lineage: Eukaryota; Viridiplantae; Streptophyta; Magnoliopsida; Fabales; Fabaceae.
CCUAAUAUGCUCCAACCCUAAUCCUAUGCUAUUUUUGUAAAACAGAACCCUUGUGCCUCCUUGAGCAGUCGCACUCUCUGCUAGGGUUUGCCUUCUCGUCGCUUCCAAGUCCGCUCAAGCUGUUCCUACUCCACCUCCUAAGCGUACUCCUUGUUCUGUUGAGUUUGUGUCUACCAUCAAGGUCUUGCUCUAGCCUAUUCCAGUGUGGUAGGGCGUAAUCCUGUGACUCAUGUAGUGAGAGAUUUUGGUGGCGCCUCAUCUGUUGGACGUAAUUCCACGGACCCUCUUAAUGGGAGCUCCUGGUGGUACCUCGACGAAAGGACGUAAUUCCACGGGGGUCGUGGUGGUGCGUCAGGGUCAGGGUGUAAUUCCACGAAGGCCACGUGGUGGUGCCUCCUGUAAGGGUAUAAUUCCGUGAAGGCCUCGCGGUGACGCCUCAUUGCUAGGACGUAAUUCCACUGCCACGUGGUGAUGCCUCAGUCACGUAUCCGGAUAGUCAAGUCUUGGAGUCUCAUAUAUUUUUGAUAGCUCUGGUGUGAUGCCUGUUAUUUAUAUUUGGCUUUGAAGUUACAUGUGAACUGUUAUAAUAUGAGAUUUCUUUACACUAGCUUACUUUGUUGCUUGCUUGUAUGUUGUGUGUGGUCUUCUCUAUUGCGAUGAUCAUCAAUCUUGUUGAUGUGAGCAGAUGUGAAAACCCCUGACAGUGGUAAUUAUGGUAGGGUUGAUGCAGCUUGAUGGAUUGGAUGGGUGUUGGGCCAUUGUGGGGCCCAACAAAUGAAGGAUUUUAUUAAUCAUGCUUCUCGUUUCCUAACAAGACCUAGUUUAAUUACUUGUUUUCUUUUAGUGUUUUCUGUUUGGGCCGUGUGGAGCUCUUUCCUUAUAAUCUGGGUAUGUCUAAUGUAUGGAAUACUCUUAUACCCUAAACU